This 669-nucleotide long non-coding RNA is filed under the name Salvia miltiorrhiza (redroot sage). Its description in RNAcentral is "long non-coding RNA (SMIL_LNC006210)". The record is from RNAcentral. Lineage: Eukaryota; Viridiplantae; Streptophyta; Magnoliopsida; Lamiales; Lamiaceae.
GGCAAAAAAAAGAGCGGGAGGUUUUACCUUUCUCCAUUAUUGACGUCUCUUCUUUCUCUCUCCUCUCCUAUGGAACAACCCCAGGGGCCGGCCCUCCACUUCCCCGCCGCCUCAUCUCCGCCGUCCGAUAAUGAAUUUGACCACGACGAGGAUCACCACGAUUUCUCCCCCGUCGGCUCACCGGAGCUCACCGAAUCUCAUUUCCCGCCGCCGUCGGAUCAGCCGCAGCCUUCCGUGCUCUCCGAUGAUCUCCGCCGCAAGAUCAUCAAGCAGGUGACUGCUCUGCCAAAUAUUUGUCUGUAUACGGGUGUUCCGUUGAUUGAAUUUUAUUCGGCGUCGAUUCAGAGGGCUAGUCGCAAUCUGACAAUAUGUGAACUUUAAGUGAAUUGGUUUAUUUGCUUGAUGAUUGGAGGUGGUAUUCAUGGGUCUCUUGAGCAGGUAGUAGGGUUUUUGAACUUGAGGGACGACUUAGUGCAGCUCUUCAUUUGNUUUGCCCCUCUUUUCUUCUCUCUCUCUCUCAUCUCCUAUGGAACAAACCCCAGGGGCCGGCCCUCCACUUCCCCGCCGCCUCAUCUCCGCCGUCCGAUAAUGAAUUUGACCACGACGAGGAUCACCACGAUUUCUCCCCCGUCGGCUCACCGGAGCUCACCGAAUCUCAUUUCCCGCCGC